Molecule: ribosomal RNA, 393 nt
Filed under: uncultured bacterium
Lineage: Bacteria
Description: partial 16S ribosomal RNA
Rfam family: Bacterial small subunit ribosomal RNA
Source: RNAcentral
AUACGGAGGAUGCAAGCGUUAUCCGGAUUUAUUGGGUUUAAAGGGUGCGCAGGCGGCGCGAUAAGUCAGCGGUGAAAUGUACCGGCUCAACCGGUGAGCUGCCGUUGAUACUGUCGUGCUUGAGUGCGCGCGGCGCCGGCGGAAUGUGUGAUGUAGCGGUGAAAUGCAUAGAUAUCACACAGAACACCGAUCGCGAAGGCAGCUGGCGAGGACGUUACUGACGCUGAGGCACGAAAGCGUGGGGAUCAAACAGGAUUAGAUGCCCUGGUAGUCCACGCUGUAAACUAUGAUAACUAUCUUUUAGCGAUACACAGUUAGAGGGUACGAGAAAUCAUUAAGUUAUCCACCUGGGGAUUACGUUCGCAAGAAUGAAACUGAAAGGAAUUGACGGGG